This 460-nucleotide ribosomal RNA is filed under the name uncultured bacterium. RNAcentral describes it as "partial 16S ribosomal RNA". It matches the Rfam family "Bacterial small subunit ribosomal RNA", at positions 338 to 795 of the family's 1533-position model. The record is from RNAcentral.
CCUACGGGUGGCAGCAGUGAGGAAUAUUGGUCAAUGGGCGAGAGCCUGAACCAGCCAAGUCGCGUGAAGGAUGACGGCCCUACGGGUUGUAAACUUCUUUUGUCAGGGAGCAAUUGAGUCCCCGUGUGGCCUUAGCGAGAGUACCUGAAGAAAAAGCAUCGGCUAACUCCGUGCCAGCAGCCGCGGUAAUACGGAGGAUGCGAGCGUUAGCCGGAUUUAUUGGGUUUAAAGGGUGCGUAGUCGGAAUAUCAAGUAAGCGGGAAAAAUUCGGGGCUCAACCCAGUCGUGCAGUUGAAACUGAUGUUCUUGAGUGGGCGAGAGGUAUGCGGAAUGCGUGGUGUAGCGGUGAAAUGCAUAGAUAUCACGCAGAACUCCGAUUGCGAAGGCAGCAUACCGGCGCCCAACUGACGCUGAAGCACGAAAGCGUGGGUAUCGAACAGGAUUAGAUACCCGGGUAGUC